This is an RNA transcript of Physeter macrocephalus (sperm whale), 13599 nucleotides long. It is a transcript of the gene named cardiomyopathy associated 5, with no coding region annotated. The transcript is spliced from 14 exons. Lineage: Eukaryota; Metazoa; Chordata; Mammalia; Artiodactyla; Physeteridae. The record is from RefSeq and is a predicted model, not a curated record.
CCGAGCCGCCCCGCCGGGACAGGGCAGGGCCGGGCCGGGCCGGAGGCGCCGUCAGAGGGAGAACACCAGGCGCGGCGCGGGCGGUUCCGGCUCCAGCUCCGGCCCGGGGAGAGGCGCGAUGGCUAGCAGCGAGAGCAGCCACGCCGCGGACAGCGCCCUGGGUUCCGACGCGGACGAGGAGGUGACCCGGGGGCCGGACACUGAGGAGGAGUCGGGGGGCGAGGAGGACGAGACGGCCGCGGAGUCGGAGUCGGAGUCGGAGCCGGAGCCGGACGCCAGGUUAUCAGACCAGAAUGAAGAGGGCAAGACCAAGCAGAAGUGUAUCAUAUCUGACCCCUCUUUUUCCAUGGUAACAGUUCAACGGGAAGAUAGUGGAAUAACCUGGGAGACUAAUUCAAGUAGGUCUUCCACUCCUUGGGCCUUGGAAGAAAGUCAGACCUCUGGUGUGUGUAGUCUGGAAGGGUUGACUCUGAAGUCUUCUCCAGGGAAUGUUUCCUUUAUUGUGGAUGAAGUUAAAAAAGUUCGGAAAAGAAAGCCUAAGUCAAAGCAUGGCUCACCAUCAUUGCGUCGGAAAGGCAACAAAAAAAGAAAUUCUUUUGAAUCCCAAGAUGUUCCAGCAAACAAAACAAGUAAUCCUCUAAUUUCAGAAAGCCAGGAACUAAAGACCCAGAAAGAGAAGUCAUCUACUGGCAUUUACAAUAAGAUGAGAACAAAGAAGACCGCCUCAAAUACACCUCCUGUUACUGGGGCAAUAUACAAAGAACACAAACCGUUAGUGUUAAGGCCAGUCUACAUAGGAACAGUACAAUAUAAAAUUAAGAUGUUUAAUUCUGUUAAAGAAGAAUUAAUUCCUUUACAAUUUUAUGGAACAUUGCCAAAGGGUUAUGUAAUUAAAGAAAUACAUUAUAGGAAGGGGAAAGAUGCGUCCAUUAGUCUAGAGCCAGAUUUGGGCAAUCAUGAUUCUAAUGUAGUUUCCAAAACAGGCAAAUCAGUAGCCCAAAGCAUAGACGAUGAUGAAGUAAAAGAGCUUGCUCCACCCUGGAGAGGUGCGGUUUCCAAAGGAUCAAAAUCCCUGACCUCAUUCAGUCAUGAAGAUCUAAAGAAAAUUUACGUUGAUUCUCCCUUAAGGGCUGCAUCUACUACCAAGCACACACCUUCCUCUUAUACAAGUAAUGACACAGCAGAACAAGAAACACAGCUCAGCGCUCCACAGUCAGUGCCACAGCUGCCAGCUGAUGAAGCAAAACCCCGUGAGAUAGAGCCUUCCUCUCUUACACCCAAUACAUCUGCACCUGCAUUCCUGGAAACAGCAGAGGAAGAAUCUGAGGCUGAUUCACGAGAAACGGUAACUGCAGAGCAUGACUCUUCAGUCUCACUGCCGUUAGUGGAUGAGGUAAGGACGGAAGACAUAUCUUCUGCUGACCAUUCCAUUUCACUGGAGGCAGAGAAGGGUUCUCAGGAAACACUUUCACCAGGUCUGACAGCCUCUAUCCAGGAAGAUUUUGGCCCAGAGAGAGAAGAACUGGAUCUGACUUCACCAGAAAGGGCAAAACCAGUCUCUGAACGACUGAACCCUCCUCAUCUCACUGUCAAAGGAGAGAAGGAUGAAAACAUGCUUGUGCCAUCCAUUUCUCUUUCUGAACCUCUAGUGUUAGAGGAACCAGAGAAAGAAGAAAUAGAAAAGCCUCUACCAAUAUAUGCUGCCCCUGAACCUGAAGAUUCUAAUUUAGUGAAAGAAGAGAUCAUAGAACUUGAUUACCCAGAAAGUCUAUCAGUUUCUGAGGAGCCCUUCCCACCAUGCUUGGCCCCUGAAGUGGAGCAGAAAGAAGAGGAGACCAUUCUGCCAUUACUGAUGACAUCAACGCCUGAACAUGUCACCUUGUCUGAGGAAGAAAGAGAGGAAAAUGAGUCUGUUUCUACUGAUUCUGCUUUCAUAUCGGAGUAUUCAGUCCCACAGGAUUUGAACUAUGAACAAGAGAAGCAAGAAAUUGAGCCAGUUUCUUCAUCUAAUGUAAAACCUCUAUCUGAACAUGCAGUUUUGUCAGAAGAGGAGAAUGAUGAAUUUGAGCCUUAUUCCCCAGCUUCAACCUCUGCAUCUGUCUCACCAUCUGCAACUGAGAAGACUCCUGAAUGCCAGUCCCCACUGUUUUCAACAGCUAUAGCAGAGCACAUGGUCCUUUCCAGAGAAGAGGCUUCAGAAAAUGGGCGUUACACACCACAUUCCACAUCUGCUUCUGAAUAUUCAAUUCCCUCACAGGCAACAAAAGAGUCACCAAAGAAAACAACUGACCAUAAGUCCCCAUUAACAUCAGAAGGUGUGUCUGAUCCCCUGAUUCUGUCAGAAGAGAAGGAAGACACUAGGCUGUAUUCCCCAGAGGUGGCCUCUGUAUCUGAACGUUCUCUCUCGCCAUACACAACCGAGGGGACUUCUGAAUGCCAGUCACCACUGCUUUCAACUGCUACAUCUGAACACAUGGCCCUAUCAGAAGAAGAGAACCUAGGAAAUGAGCGUUUUACACCAGAUUCAACACUGACUUCCCAACAUGCAGUCCCACCAAAUGUAACACAGGAAUCCCCAAAGAAAAUAACUGGUGAUGUCUCCCUGUUGAAAUCAAAAGGUAUUUCUGAGCACAAGACUCUGUUAGAAGAAGAGAAGGAGGACACCAGAUUCUAUCCCCCAGAGGUGGCCUCUGUAUCUGAAUGCUCUCUGCCACCAUACACAACUGAGGGGACUCCUGAAUGCCAGGCCCCACCACUUUCAGCCACCCCAUCCGAACAUGUGGUCCUCUCAGAAGAAGAGACAGUAGAGAUGGAGUGGUACACACCCUCUUCCACCUCUGAGUCUGAAUUUUCAAUACCACCAUAUGCAACACUGGAGUCACAGGAGGAAGAAAUUGUCCACAGAUCCCCUUUAAAUCUAAAAGGUGCCUCCUCACCCAUGAACUUCUCAGAAGAAGAGCAAGAAGACAUUGGACCUUUUUCUCCAGACUCUGCAUUUGUGUCAGAAUUCUCAUUCCCACCCUAUGGAACUCAGGAGACAGAGAAAAGAGAAUUUGAGUGUGAUUCUCCAAUAUGUUUAACAUCACCAUCUGAACACACAAUUUUGUCAGAUGAAGACACCGAAGAAGCUGAACUUUUUUCUCCAGAUUCAGCAUCACAAGCUUCCAUCCCACCAUAUAGGAUCCCAGAAACAAAUGAGGAAACUGAGCCUGAUUCACUGUUAACUGCAAUGGCUGCAUCAGGAUAUUCCUGCUUCUCAGAAGCAGAUGAGGAAGAAAUUGCACCAACUGCUACACCUGUACCUGAGCAUCUAAGUUCAUCACAGAAGCAAAGAACUGAAACUUCUCCUUUGGUGUCUGCACCUGAAGACUUGAGUUGGCUCCCUUCAACAAAUGAAGGAGAGAUUAAUCCAGAUGCUGAAACAACAUCAACAACUGUAUCUGAAUAUCUCAUUAUGGCACAGAAGCAGAGAACUCGAGCAUAUUUAGAACCUGAGUCUGAAGACUUGAUUCCACCGUGUUUAACCAGUGAUUCAGAGAAGGGAGAAAUUAAGACUAGUUCAUCACUAGCUGCAACACCUGCACAAUUGUCCAUGGCAAAGGAAGAAACCAAACCUGAUUUGCCUGUAUCUCAGCGUUCAGUUUCACCUGAUUCAGUCCAUGCAAUUAAGAAAGAACAAGAACCCAAAACAUCACUCACUCCAAAAUCUGCAGAUGAACAGACGGCUUUGUUAAAAGUUAAAAGUAAGGAAGAAAUUGUGCCUGAUUCUCAAGAAGCUAUAGCACAUGUAUUACGGGAUCAAGAAAUGGAGCUUCAGCCUCCAAAUGUUCCAGAGUCUGGGAUGAAAGAUUCAGUUCUGCCUGACUUGGUAGAUGAGCCAAAGAAGGAUGUCAAGCCCAAUUUAGCUCCAUCUGUGACAUCUGAACUAGAACAAAGAAGGUUGUCAGAGAAUGAGCCUGAAGUAAUAAAGCCAUAUUCACCUCUAAAGGAAACAUCUUUAUCUGGACCUGAGAUUUCAUCAGUAGUGAAAACAGAAGUGCAACUUGAUUUUAAAAUAACUGGUACACCUAGAGUGCUGCAUUCAGCGUCACCAGGAGUGGAAAAGGAAGUUGAGCAUGCACCACCCAUAUCAGAAUUUUCAGCUUUGUCAGAAGACAUAAAGAAAGAAAUUGAACCCAGUUCUUCAAUAACCACGACAUCUGUAACAAAGCAUGAUUCAAGCUUAACCAAAUUAGCAAAAGAAGAAAUCCCAACAGAUUUAUCUCUUACCACCACUAUAGAAUAUCCAGUCUUAACAGAAGUAAGAAAGAGUGAAUUAGGAAUUGGUUUGCCGCUUCAGAUGGUAACAUCUGUAGAUAAGCAUUCACUUCUUAAAGAAGACAAGGUAGCAAUUAAAGCUAGUUCUUCUCCCACUGAAACUGCUGCAUCCCAACGUCUGGCUUGGUCAGAAGUAGGGAAAGAAAUUAAAUUUGAUUUACCUGCAAGCAUAUCCUCUAUACCAGAGCAUUCUGUUUUGUCAAAGGUAGAAACUGAAAACAUUAAACCUGGGUUGGCAGUAACCAAAACAUUGUCUUCUCAGCAUUCAGAUGUAUCAAAGGAAGCAAGGGUGGAAAACAAACAAGAUCUUUCAUUUUCUACAGUCCUCAACUCUGAAUAUUUGGAUGUAUCACAGGAAAAAAAUUCUAUGUCUGCCUCAGAGAUGUCAGGACCUGACCAUGUGCUUUCGCUCAACCUAGGUGGUGAGAUAAAGAAAACAGAAACUGAACUUCCUUCUUCACAGAAUGUGUCACCUGCACUCAAGUAUAUAGUUACAAAAGGCAAAAAUGAGCAAACAGCAAAUUCUUUUCCUGAGUUAGAAUUAGCAACAGAAGAUUUAGCUUCAACAUUACCAACCCUCUGUGGUGAUAAGAGCAAACAGGCAAUGGAGGCACCUUCUAUAGUUCAGCGAGAUUUCCUGUCAGAAAAACAAGAUCUUGCUCUGGCGCAGCUCUCUUUGGAACCUGAGAAGGAAGACAAGCCACAUCAAGUAUCAGAAUUACCAAAUUCUGGCUCUGAAUUUACUGGUGGUUUAGGUAGGCAAAGUGAAUCCAUAGAUACAAGACAAAUAAAAUCUCCCAUAACUGAAACAGGGGAUUCUGUCCUAGAAAAGGGCCUAGCUGAACUUAGGAGCAGAAGAGAAGGAAAAGAAGAAAACAGGGGACUUCAUGUGUCAACUACAGUGCCUGAAAUUUCAGAGGUUUCAUCAUGCCUUAGGGAGGAACCUCAGAUUCAAGAAAUUAAAUCUUUCUUUCCUAAGGUAGUUAGCUUACAAUCAAGGGAAGCAUUUACCUCUCUAGUUGAAGGAGACAACCCAGAAGAACUUCAGCCAUACACUUUUUCUUUAAAGGGAUUAUCAGGAGAGUUGAACGAUUCAGUUGACUUUAAAAAAGAAGGAAAACAAGAAAUAAGCCUGUUACUGCCAACAGGAAAUUUGAAUGCACAAGUGACAGAUAAUACUGUAACUAAACUAAAUGAAGAAACUGACCAACCAAAUUCAUUUCAUAUACUCCAGAGUGUAACAGAGCCAUCAAAGAUUGCUUCUUCUGACCUCCCUGUGGAAGAAGAGAAGCCUGAAAAAGAACUUCAUUCAGACCAAGCUGUUAAAUUACCUGACGUAAACAGAUCUUUUGCAGAUAAACAAGAUAUGGGUAUUAAACAAUUUUUGUCUAUGAAAGAAAAUUUGCCUUUGGAAGAAUCAAAAUCAUUUAUGACAACUGAGCCUACAGAUGUUAAAGAAACACACAGGAAAGAGGCCCUUAUUUCUCCAAAGGAUGAAAAUUGGAUGUUGAAAAAGCCAGAGAGAGACUUGGCAAGUCAUCAUGAAGGAAGAGUCCCUGGAUCUGUGCAGCUGGGUUCCUCUGGUACCAGUGAUCUGAUGACAGGGCAGCUCACGCCUGCUCUGUCAGAGAAAGACCACGCAACUGAAAUCAGAAGGCAAAUUCUGCCGCAUUCUGCAGAAGAAUCUCACUUAUCAUUACAAGAACCAGUGUCUACUCUCGAUACCUCUAGUGGUAACGUAGAGACCUUAGCAACUAAAACUUAUUCUUCUGAAGAAAUAAAGCUGGCCCCCAAACCAAAAUCUUUAGUUCCAGCUGGAAAUGUGGAGAGAAAUGAAGCAGAAGGGAAGCAGACCCUUUCUUUAGUGGGGAGUGAAAGUUUGGUAUCGGAGAAACCAAACACAGAAUUUUCCAGGCCUUGCAAAGAAGACAGCUGGGAAGAAAUCAAAACACCAUCUGAAAGAAUCCUCCAGAAACCAGUGUCUGGCCCAUCAACAGAAGAGGUCAAAUCAGAAACUCUUCCCUCUCUUGCCAAAGCAGCCCAUUUCCUGGCAGAAGAAGCAGAACUUGCACUGGGCAAUGAAAAAGAAGCACACAGGCGUAUAUCUCCCUUACCUGGAGAAGAAUCAAAAGUGGUUCAGUCAAAGGUUGUAGAUGAUGCUGAGAGAGGGAAACCAGCAUCUGAAGUGAAAACACCCACACAAAUAAAACCCCUCUCCUCAACCCAAGAAAAUGAAGAACCUCAACCCCCAGAGUCACCCGAGGUCAUACAAAAGCUGCCCAAGCAGCAGAAGGCAGUGGAGCCAGGCCUCUCUGAGGAAAAGGGAAAGAAAGGAAUUUCAUCUUUCACAUCGUGGUUGCCUAGUUUGUUUUUACAAUCAAGCACUCCAGAUAACAAAGUUGCAGAAAAAGAAGAUUUAGCAGCUCAGCCAAGCCCAUCUGUAGAAAAAGCAGUGACUGUGAUAGAGCCUAGAGGUCCUGCUCCAGCUGAUGUUCAUGCAACUGAGAAGCCAGCAGAUCAUCUAUUGCUAGAGGCCAAACCUGAAACUCCUGCAGAAUCCACAUGUUCUUUAGUUAAAUCUGGUGAAGGUCAAGACUUUAAAGAAAAACCCACAUUGUUAUCAAAUGUAGAAGUUUUGCCACAGCCAAAAUCCAACUUUGAGGCAUCUAGUGAAGAUUAUGGGAAGAAAGAAGUCCUAGACUAUUCAGAGGAAAUGGACCUAAACUCAGUAGUUACUUCUGCUGAUGGUGAGGGACAUCUUAGAAUUCAAUCUUAUUCUCCCAUGGGUGAGAAAUCCAUUAUGGAAGAAGCCAAAAAUGCUGUUCAUCUUCAUAUCACUGAUGGUAAAAGACCCCAGAAGCCAGAAAUCUCCCCUCCAUCUAAAUGGAAUAUUUCUAUCCUUAAAGAAGAGCCAGGAAGUGAUCAAAAAGAAAAAUCACUCUUUUUAUUUGAUGCAAUAGAUAAGGUGCCACAACAGCCAAAAUCAGCUUCAUCUAGCUUUGCAAGUAAAAAUAUCACAGAGGAAUCAGAGAAACUGCAGUCAAUAAUUUUGCCAGUAGAAGAACCUAAAGACAGUUUAAUUGAUCUUGGUGAAGACAGACUAGAGAAAGAGAUGCCAAAACCUACUUCCUUGAAAAUUUCUGAAGAGGAAAUAAAACUCAGAUCUGUUAGCCCAACUGAGGAGAAAGGUAACUUGGGCAUUAGAUCAUAUUCCUUGGAAGAAAAGAAGGUGCUGGCAGAAAAACAAGAAACGGUGGCCCCAUUAGAGCUUAGAGGUAAUAAUGAAAUAGGGAAGGCACAAAUUACACAUGGAUCUAUCCCUAUUAAAUUGGAAGAACCAAAAGCUGCUACUGCGCUGCAGCAAGUCUAUCAAAAUGAUGACCACAAAGAAAGAUACAAAAUUAUUGAGGAGGGUAAAGGAGAAGAAAAAGAAGAGCAGUCACAUGCAUUUUUAGAAGGAAAAGAGCAGCAGGAAGUUCAGGCUUAUUCCGUGAAUAUAGCCAGGCAUAUGCCUGAAGAGUCAGAUAUCUCUUUCAGUCAUUCUUUGGGUGAAAGUCAACCAUUUUCAUUAGUUAAAACUACAGAAAUUACUGAAAAAUCAAAAACCAUGAUCUCAGAGGCUCACCCAGAAAUCAGGGAAACAAAGGCAGUAGGAACCCAACCACAUCCAUUAGAAGAACGUGAAGUUUUGGUGGAGAAAACCAAGACUUUCCUUCCAGUAGAUCUUCCUUAUCGUGAUGAAAUAAAUGAUCACUCUUUACUGAAGGAAGGAAAUCUGGUAUUGGACAAGUCAAGCAGGCAUGUGGUAAGUCACAAUGAAGAAAGGGGACAGGUCACAGCGUCAGAGCUGCCAAAAGGUGGCUCAGUAGAUACCACAAAAGAAAGUAAACAAGGAUCUCCAUCUAAAGAAUCUGAAAGGAUUUUAGAUCCAUGGUUAGAAUUGACUCCAGAGAGGCAUAUGCUCCAUAUUAUUGAAACAUCUCAAGAUAAAGCAUCUGAAAUGUCUGAACAAUCUGUUCUUGUUUCAAAGCACCACUUGGAAGCUCUGGAAGAUGCCCAUGUAAAUGAACCAUGCUCUUCAGUGAGCAGCAACUAUGCUCAGUUUAUAACUAAUGCAUCAACAAUCAGUAUUGAGGAGAUGAUUUCCAAGGAGCCUGAAGACACAUAUGUAAGAGAUGAAGAAUUUACAGUGACUAGUAAGCCAGCUGGACUUUCAGAAGAGCAAAAGAGUGCCUUCAGUAUCAUUUCUGAAGGUUGUGAGAUAUUGAACAUUCAUGCUCCUGCAUUUAUUUCUUCAGUUGAUGAAGAAGAAAGUGAACAAAUCCAAGAUAAGUUAGACUAUUUGGAAGAGAAGCCCUCAUUUAAGCCUAUACCCUUCCAUGAUGAGAGUGAGGCAGUUGCUUGCUAUAAAACAUUACAGAGUAAGUUAGAAGAUUCUGAUAAAAAAGUUAUACCAUCGAAAGAAGACCAAAAAAAGGAAACUCAUACAACCAAAGAGGAGAUAUCCACAGAUUCAGAAACUGGUGAUUUAGCCUUUAAUCAGCCUGCAAUUCCCAGUGAAGAGGAUUAUUUUGAAAAAUAUACAUUGAUUGAUUAUAACAUCUCCCCAGACCCAGAAAAACAGAGAACUCCAUGGAAAUUAAAUGUUGAAGGAGAGCUGUCAAAGGAAGUUCCAAGAGAAACUGUCUCUCUCUCAGAACGUUCAGUGGAAAGUGCCCUAGAAUAUGAGUAUGAAUUGGUGAAAUUAGAUGAAAGUUUUUAUGGACUAGAAAAGGACUACAGCAAAUUAUCUGACCCAGAGACGCAAAAGUCUUCAGUUAUCCAAAAAUCAGCUGACAGAUAUGCUCCAAAGAGCAUAAGUAGAGAUGUGGACUCAAAGUCACCUGGGAUGCCUUUAUUUGGUGAAGAGGAAGGAGUUUUGUCACGAACCCAGAUAUUUCCUACCACUGCUAAAGGCAUUAAUCCUGAACUUCUGGAGGAGCCACCUGCACUGGCAUUUUUAUAUAAAGAUCUGUAUGAAGAAGCAGUUGGAGAGAAAAAGAAAGAAGGGGAGACAGCUUCUGAAGGUGACAGUGUGAAUUCUGAAGCAUCAUUUCCAAGCAGAAAUUCUGACACUGAUGAUGGAACAGGAAUAUAUUUUGAGAAGUACAUACUCAAAGAUGACAUUCUCCAUGACACAUCUGUAACUGAAAAGGACCAAGACCAAGGUCUAGAAGAAAAGCCAGUUGGUAAGGAUGAUUCAUACCAAUCAAUAAUUGAAGAAGGAGAAAUUUGGGGGAGGUUUGAAACUAUUUGCGGGGAGGAGAGUCUGGAAGAGAAAGAGAAGGCAGCUUACAGGGAAGGAGAAUCAGUAGACCACGUGGAGGCUCUUGACAGUGUAGCUAUGCAGAGGAAAGCUUCCAUCACCGAGGAAGUCAGAGUGGUUACCCAGAGGGUAAGCUAUGCGGUUCCAUUUGAAGACACUCAUCAUGUCCUGGAGAGAGUAGAUGAAAUGAGCAGCCAGACUAAUGAAGCAGCAAAUGCAAAUCCAGAGGUCAGUCUGAAUGUCCCAGUACAAGUGUCCUUCCCAGAGGAAGAAUUUGCAUCUGGUGCAACUUGUGUUCAAGAAACACUGCAAGAAGAACCUCAAAUAAUUGUUCCCCCUGAGCUGAGUGAAGACCGGCUCCGCAGUAGCCCUGUUCAGGAUGAGUAUGAAUUUGCUGAAUCCCUGAAUUACGAAGUGGUUACUCAAGACACUUUAUCAGAAGAACGGUAUUCAGAAUCCACCCCUGAAGAUGUGUUAUCUCAAGGAAAGGAAUCCUUUGAACAUGUCAGUGAAAAUGAAUUUGUGAGUGAGGUGGAACAAAGUAAGUCUGCUGAACAGGAAGAGUUGGACAGAGAGAUGACAGAACAAGACCAGUUAUCAUCAGAGUUGGUAACUGAGAAGGAACAAAAGGAAUUGAAAAAGUCCCAGAUUGACACAUAUUGCCACACAUGUAAAAGCCCAAUUUCUGCUGUUGACAAGCUCUUUGGCACCCACAAAGACCAUGAGGUUUCAACACUUGAUACAGCUAUAAGUGCUGUAAAGGUUCAAUUAGCAGACUUUCUAGAAGAUUUACAAGAAAAAUCCUUGAGGAUUGAAGCCUUUGUUAGUGAGAUAGAAUCCUUUUUUAAUACUAUUGAGGAAAACUGUAGUAAAAAUGAGAAAAGCCUAGAAGAACAGAAUGAGGAAAUGAUGAAAAAGGUUUUAGCGCAGUAUGAUGAGAAAGCCCAGAGCUUUGAGGAAGUGAAGAAAAAGAAGAUGGAGUUCCUACAUGACCAGAUGGUCCACUUUCUGCAGAGCAUGGACACUGCCAAGGACACCCUGGAGACCAUCGUGAGAGAAGUCGAGGAGCUUGAUGAGACCGUUUUCUUGACUUCGUUUGAGGAAAUCAAUGAAAGGUUGCUUUCUGCAAUGGAGAGCACUGCUUCUUUAGAGAGAAUGCCUGCUGCAUUUUCACUUUUUGAACAUUAUGAUGACAGCUCGGCAAGAAGUGACCAGAUGUUAAAACAAGUGGCUGUUCCACAGCCUCCUAGAUUAGAACCUCAGGAACCAAAUUCUGCCACUAGCACAACGAUUGCAGUUUACUGGAGCAUGAACAAGGAAGAUGUCAUUGACUCAUUCCAGGUUUACUGCAUGGAGGAGCCACAGGAUGACCAGGAAGUAAAUGAUUUGGUAGAAGAAUACAGAGUGACCGUGAAAGAAAGCUACUGCGUUUUUGAAGAUUUAGAACCUGACCGAUGCUAUCAAGUAUGGGUAAUGGCUGUGAAUUUCACCGGAUGUAGCCUGCCCAGCGAAAGGGCAAUUUUUAGAACAGCGCCCUCCACCCCUGUAAUCUGUGCCGAGGACUGUACUGUGUGUUGGAACACAGCCACCAUCCGAUGGCGGCCUGCCAACCCAGAGGCCACUGAGACCUACACUUUGGAGUACUGCAGACAGCACUCUCCCGAGGGCGAGGGCCUCAGAUCUUUCUCUGGAAUUAAAGGACUCCAACUGAAAGUUAACCUCCAACCCAAUGACAAUUACUUUUUCUACGUGAAAGCCAUCAGUGCAUUUGGGACAAGUGAACAGAGUGAAGCUGCCCUCAUUUCCACCAGAGGAACGAGAUUUCUCCUGCUGAGGGAAACGGCUCAUCCCGCCCUGCAGAUUUCCUCAGAUGGGACAGUGAUUAGCUUCACUGAGAGGAGACGGCUGACAGAGUUGUGUUCCUUGCAAGCUCCUGUGGUCACAAGAAAACCCUCAAAGGGCACAAGAAACAUAGGUGCCUGACACAGUUGACAGUGGGCUGACAACCCUCUAAUACAGCUGCUGGUGCACUCAGAAUCACUGUGUGUCAACUUCCUACUUCUCUCCACUUGAAUAUUUGAGGGCUGUCUCCAAACAGUCCUUGGAUUGUCAGUCAGAAGGAGAAAAACGUUUGGGUCCUUCAAGCAGAAGCUCCAAACAGAGUCUGUUUGCCGGUCACCUAGUUUUCUCAAUGACUGGAGUCUAGCCCAGAGUCUCCUGGGAGAAGCAGAACAAGUACACAGGAAGAGGAUGAGCGCACGCAGGCUCCCUGUCGCCACAAACCUUUGCUGCCACCUAGUACCUGGGGGAGAGAGGCACCCCUGAAUGGCCUCGGGCAUCCACAGCUCCUUUCCCCUCUGUCCACACUCACAGCUCCGGUGGCAAGGUGGCUCUACGGCCAAGCACUGCCCAGGGAGCUGGUGGGCCAAAUGCUGUCCUAAUGCCUAGAACACGCUGCUUGAGGCUCCUCCCUGCACCUCCUUCUCUCCUCUCUCUACCCCAGGGCUCAGGAUUGGAGGAACCUUGAGCUUCCUCUGGAGGCCAAGAAGCACCACUGAUGUGGAGGUCUCCAUCUAGCCAUCCCAGAGGCAGCAAGGGAAGCCUGUGGCCUGGGUUUGAUGCCAUGCGACACAUUUUAAUAAGCAUCCGCCGUAGGAAAGGCAGUAUUAAGUGCAGUAGGAAAGACAGGGUUUUAUUUCUGUCGAGAGCUUUUUACGGCACCAGUUCCACGGAUCCCCACCCCACCCCGACCCAUCUGCUCGCUCCUUGGGUACAGGCAGGAGACUUUUCUGGGUACAGAACUACAGAAAGAAGCAGAUUGGACUGUGGCGAAUGCAAACCUGGCAUGUUUCCUGGGGAAAAAAAACUUUUUUUCGGCUCUUGGUUCCCCAGAGAAUAAUGUACCCAAACAAAGUGGAUCCUGUGAAUAUUCCUCACCAGGACAAUUUUUACCCAGGUUAAGUAGAGAAUUCCACAGCCUAAAUUUGGGCCUAAAUAUACCCAAAUCACACUCAAUUCUUUACCUGCUUCUCCACCUGAUUCUCUUAUUUGAUACUCAGAGACUUUAGGUCCAGCUUUAUAGAGUGGAAUUUGGUUGGACUUUUCCUGGUAAGACGGCUCAUCCGAUCUGGUGGGCCUAACUCCUCCAAGCUACGACAGUUUAUGUUUAGACACUUUCUGGAAUGAAGGGGCUCACGGCCUCUCUGAGCCAUGUCUUCUACACUGGGGUAGCUCACCAGUAACAGAGCCAGCGGAGCAUUCUCAAGGGGCACCACCAGGGACAGGAGCGAAGGGCAGUUGGGAGGGCCAGUCUCUGUCAGGGAAGGUGUAAGGAAGAUACCCUUCACCAAAUAGGCGGGAACGCAGUUUGCGGAGUAUGCAGUAGUGGGGCAGACCCCGUCUUGGGAAGACGCCCCCCCCCUUGGGGACUCCUCCAAAGGGACUCAAAGGGGAUUUGGAGGCAAAUUACAUAGUGUCAGCAUGCCAUCAAUCCAGUGGGGCUCUGAGAGUUGAGCCAGGCAUCCAGGGCAUGCUGAUGUCUGCUAAUCUCCUCAGAAUGGCAUCCUGUUCCCCAUGGCAGAGCAGAGAAGAGUGGGGAAGCUCAGAGUCAGACACACAGAUCUUAGGCAGGACCCGAAGAUCCUCAGGGGCCUGCCUUAAUGGUUGCUCUGCUCCUCAGAGCACAGGAGAAGCAGAAAUGGAUGGAGGCCCACAGGAUUAUUUUUUCCUCAGGUUCCAUGUGUACAAUGAGGUUUGCUGCCUGGGGGCUGGUGGGCUUGAACAUUUAGAGCUCUCCAGCUGGUUGAGGAGAGGGUCUUUGUCAAACAGCACUGAACUGGGGCGGUUUCUCUGUUAAGAGAAGAGAGGGCCUUCAAGGGCAGCAGGAGUGAAGGUGACCUCCAACCUGUCUAUGGGGAGCUCCCCACUAUUAACACUCCUGAGGCUACAACUUCACUGACCAUUUGGAAAACAAAUCA